RNAcentral lists this long non-coding RNA (2825 nucleotides) under Laticauda laticaudata (blue-ringed sea krait). RNAcentral's name for it is "lncRNA (ENSLLTG00000007992.1)". The record is from RNAcentral. Lineage: Eukaryota; Metazoa; Chordata; Lepidosauria; Squamata; Elapidae.
AUGUCUGAACUUUUCUUUUUUCAAUCUCUAGUGUCCACUGCUAAAUCUUUACGUUUCUCUACUGCAACUGAAAUCAAGCCACUCCAGCAAGUUAAAAGCUUUCCAAAGAGCAGAUUGAAAAAAGAAGCCAGUCAUGAUAAUACAAAUCUUGAGGAGCACUGUACUAAGCAGACUGCAGCUCUUUUAUUGCAGUCUGUGGAUAUUAGCUGCCCAUCAACUCCUACAAAAAUGAAGAUGAAAAGCCAACAGCAAAUGGAACAAAUGUUUUCCAAGUUCCUGCUUUCUGAUGUGGGGAAAAAGCAAGGGGAACCAUUGAAAUCUCAGCAGGUGGCGCAUUCUUCAGCUCCUCUUCACCAGAUGGAGUAUUUGUUUCCAAAUGGUCAUGAACAGUCCAGACUGAAAUGCAAUAAGAUGCUAACAGAAGAAAACACAGUUCCAUGUUUAAUUCAUGCAAAGCAGCAAGAAAUGCAUCAGAAAGACUUUCCCAAAAUGCUCAGUAUUCCAAAAGAAAAGAAAAAGUUGUUGAAGCAAGAGAAACAUACUUUUAUUUUGCCCAACAGGGUUGAAGAUGAGAAAUCUGCUGUUGAUGAGAAGGCCAUUAUUGCUAUGCCUUUAUGUUUGGAAGAUGUAGCAUUUUACCAUCCAGUAAUAGAACCCAAGCAAGUAGGCAAAUAUUGGACAAACUACACUGGCAAAAAUUCCUUCAACCAUGAAAUAUAUUAACUAAAUAUUUGGUUCUGUGAAAAUAUGCUAUGAAUACGUUGAUCAACAUUAUUUAUGACUGUAUGCAUACUGUAUCCUUCUCAUGCCACUCAUUCAUUGUAAUUCUCUAAGUAUUACUUUUUGAUACACAUUUGUUCUUAGUAAUUGUGAACAGUUAUACAUUUUUAAUUAAUCUGUUCUCCUGAGCAGGGCAACAAAAGAAGACCCAGCCAAUCAUCUGGGACUCGGGAGGCAGAAAAUAGAUGGGGGCGGGGCCAGUCAGAGGUGGUAUUUACCGGUUCUCCGAACUACUCAAAAUUUCCACUACCAGUUCUCCAGAAUCUAUCAGAACUGGCUGGAUACCACCUCUGCCAUGUGGUCUUUUUCACAGAAAUGGAUAGCUUUUGAACAGAGAGUUGUUAGUGUUCAGCAAACUGAUCAAAAGUAUCAUCCAAAUUAUCUGCUCUUGUUCUCAGAUCUGCUGAAUAGCUAUAGCAUGUGGGAUGUUGCUCUUUGCUCCUAUCCCUGUCCCUGGAUUUUUGAAAGCUGAUUUGAGCUGAAAAGGACUACAAACUCUCCACUUUUCCUUUCUAUGAUUCAUAAACAUAGGAGGAGGGGUUUGGUUCAUGGAUUAGACUCCUCCUGCACAUAUCCUUCCUGCAACUAAUUGUCUCUCCCUGCCUGGCUACUGUUUCAAGAUUAUAAAUUAACUUUAGUCCAGCUUCCCAGAGAAGUACAAAAUUCUGAAGUUGGCAUAUACUAGUCUUAGUGUGAUGCCAUGCAUACCAUAAUUUCCAUCACAUACAGAUCAUCUAGCCAUGGCAAUAUUGGAGUUUGUAUUGCAAUGUAUUAGAACUUGAAUUAAUAUGUACAUUCCAUGUUAUUAUCUAAAUUCCUCUUGCCACCACACUUUGUCUGUAAACUAUAGAUAAAUAGAUCAACUCCCAGCUACAAAGAAGCCAGCUAAACUUUCUUGAUUAGUCGAUGGGAAUGAAGUCUGAUGACUGUGGUGAAAGAAAUAUCUACUCCCUGGGAAUUCCUCCCCCCCCCCCCCCCCCCCNNNNNNNNCCCCCCCCCCCCCCCGUACAUUCUUCUGUUGUUCCUGCAUUAUAAAGAACACAAUAAAGAGAAAUUAUUUUUUCAUAUUAACAAAAUUAAUCAAUUUAAAAUUAUGUAAUGAAUUCAUUUGGCUAAGAGACUUCAUUCCCUCAUGCCUGCAAUUCAGCCUAGAAAAGUAUUACAUAUUUGUUAAAUUAUAUAUUAAAAAAAUUAGAAAGUAUUAGAGAUUACAUAUUUUAAUUUAAGAGUCUUAACUGCUGCUAUUGGGACUGUGUUCCAUCAUUUAUUAACUAUAAUGUAUUCUCCUACUCUUCACCUACUAUCAUCCCUUUGUUGCUAAUGUUCAGCUGUGUAUUCUAUUUAAAUGUUUUUCCCCCUUUUGGGUCACUUAAUGCUACUCCAAUUUUCCCAUAAAGGUAAAAUAUUGUUUUAUAUCACUAAAUGGUUAUAUUUGAGUAUAGUUAUGUGUAUUAUUCCUUACACUUCUUGGCCAAAUUAAAAUCCAGCUAAAAUUUGUAGACAGCAAGCUGUUCUUGUUCAAACUGAAUUACUGUCUUUCCAGCUAUAACUAAUUGCUGCUGUUGGAAGGCAGUAACAUGGAGUUGGUUUUUGUUUUUAUUUUUGUUGCUGGAUUAUGUAACAAUUUCAUUUUCAUAUUGAGUCUUGAAUAUCUUUCCCAAGAUGGUCAGAUAUAUUGCAGAGUAUUAAUUCAAACAAUAUAAUCAAAAUAUUUAUGCAAAUCUUCUUGGAUGAUGUGCCAAUGAUUAAAAUAAUCAGAAGUUUUGACUCAAUGGUUCUUUCAGUGAAAAUCUUGAAUAAUAAUCUUUUUUGCACAACUCUUCCAUUUUUUGACUCACAUCAAAUGGUAUUUACUAGAUAGGAGUACCAAUAAAACAACAUGCAAUAUAACAUAAGAAAUUUGUUAAAGGUUAAAACCCUUGUGAAAGAAAAGCUUCUCUCAGAAAGCUACUUCAGACCCGUUGACUUUUCUUCUCCCCCGCAUUUUUCCCCAAUCUACAUUUGCAUAAUCUUUCCAUCAAAUAAACCUUUUAACUAUUAUGCAG